CCCUUGGAGUUGAUUCCUGGCUCAGGCCGAACGCUGCCGGCGUGCCUAACACGUGCAAGUCGAGCGAAUGAAGUUCCUUCGGGAACGGAUUUAGCGGCGGACGGGUGAGUAACACGUGGGCAACCUGCCUCAUAGAGGGGAAUAGCCUUCCGAAAGGGAGAUUAAUACCGCAUAAGAUUGUAGUACCGCAUGGUACAGCAAUUAAAGGAGCAAUCCGCUAUGAGAUGGGCCCGCGGCGCAUUAGCUAGUUGGUGAGGUAACGGCUCACCAAGGCGACGAUGCGUAGCCGACCUGAGAGGGUGAUCGGCCACAUUGGGACUGAGACACGGCCCAGACUCCUACGGGAGGCAGCAGUGGGGAAUAUUGCACAAUGGGGGAAACCCUGAUGCAGCAACGCCGCGUGAGUGAUGACGGCCUUCGGGUUGUAAACUUCUGUCCUCAGAGAAGAUAAUGACGGUAUCUGAGGAGGAAGCCCCGGCUAACUACGUGCCAGCAGCCGCGGUAAUACGUAGGGGGCGAGCGUUGUCCGGAAUUAUUGGGCGUAAAGGGUCCGUAGGCGGUUUCAUAAGUCUAAAGUUAAAGGCAUUGGCUCAACCAAUGUAUGCUUAAGAAACUAUGAAACUUGAGUGAUGGAGGGGAUAGUGGAAUUCCUAGUGUAGCGGUGAAAUGCGUAGAUAUUAGGAGGAAUACCAGUGGCGAAGGCGACUAUCUGGACAUCAACUGACGCUAAGGGACGAAAGCGUGGGGAGCAAACAGGAUUAGAUACCCUGGUAGUCCACACUGUAAACGAUGAUAACUCGCUGUCGGCGAUACACAGUCGGUGGCCAAGCGAAAGCAUUAAGUUAUCCACCUGGGGAGUACGACCGCAAGGUUGAAACUCAAAGGAAUUGACGGGGGCCCGCACAAGCGGAGGAACAUGUGGUUUAAUUCGAUGAUACGCGAGGAACCUUACCUGGGUUUAAAUGGGGAGUGACAGGCUUGGAAACAGGCCCUUCUUCGGACACUCUUCAAGGUGCUGCAUGGUUGUCGUCAGCUCGUGCCGUGAGGUGUCGGGUUAAGUCCCAUAACGAGCGCAACCCCUAUCGAUAGUUACCAGCACGUUACGGUGGGGACUCUAUCGAGACUGCCGGUGUAAACCGUGAGGAGGGUGGGGAUGACGUCAAAUCAGCACGGCCCUUACAUCCAGGGCUACACACGUGUUACAAUGGCCGGUACAAAGGGCAGCUACACAGCGAUGUGAUGCUAAUCUCCAAAUCCGGUCUCAGUUCGGAUCGAAGUCUGCAACCCGACUUCGUGAAGCUGGAUUCGCUAGUAAUCGCGCAUCAGCCAUGGCGCGGUGAAUACGUUCCCGGGCCUUGUACACACCGCCCGU
This 1372-nucleotide ribosomal RNA is filed under the name uncultured bacterium. Its description in RNAcentral is "partial 16S ribosomal RNA". It matches the Rfam family "Bacterial small subunit ribosomal RNA". The record is from RNAcentral.